This 808-nucleotide ribosomal RNA is filed under the name uncultured bacterium. RNAcentral describes it as "bacterial SSU rRNA". It matches the Rfam family "Bacterial small subunit ribosomal RNA", at positions 691 to 1502 of the family's 1533-position model. The record is from RNAcentral.
UAGAUAUUAGGAAGAACACCAGUGGCGAAGGCGGCUUUCUGGACUGAAACUGACGCUGAGGCUCGAAAGCGUGGGGAGCAAACAGGAUUAGAUACCCUGGUAGUCCACGCCGUAAACGAUGAGUGCUAGGUGUCGGGGAGGAAUCCUCGGUGCCGCAGCUAACGCAAUAAGCACUCCACCUGGGGAGUACGACCGCAAGGUUGAAACUCAAAGGAAUUGACGGGGGCCCGCACAAGCGGUGGAGCAUGUGGUUUAAUUCGAAGCAACGCGAAGAACCUUACCAAGGCUUGACAUCCCGAUGACCGCUCUAGAGAUAGAGCUUCUCUUCGGAGCAUCGGUGACAGGUGGUGCAUGGUUGUCGUCAGCUCGUGUCGUGAGAUGUUGGGUUAAGUCCCGCAACGAGCGCAACCCUUAUCUUCAGUAGCCAUCAUUCAGUUGGGCACUCUGGAGAGACUGCCGUGGAUAACACGGAGGAAGGUGGGGAUGACGUCAAAUCAUCAUGCCCCUUAUGUCUUGGGCUACACACGUGCUACAAUGGCUGGUAACAAAGUGACGCGAAACGGCGACGUUAAGCAAAUCACAAAAACCCAGUCCCAGUUCGGAUUGUAGUCUGCAACUCGACUACAUGAAGCUGGAAUCGCUAGUAAUCGCGAAUCAGCAUGUCGCGGUGAAUACGUUCCCGGGCCUUGUACACACCGCCCGUCACACCAUGGGAGUUGGAAGCACCCGAAGUCGGUGACCUAACCGUAAGGAAGGAGCCGCCGAAGGUGAAGCCAGUGACUGGGGUGAAGUCGUAACAAGGUAACCA